RNAcentral lists this small RNA (68 nucleotides) under Salix viminalis (osier). Lineage: Eukaryota; Viridiplantae; Streptophyta; Magnoliopsida; Malpighiales; Salicaceae. The record is from RNAcentral.
UCGAAUUAUUGAUGCAAAGAGUAGACAAUUUGCCUAAUUACAGUGAUGUGGCUGCUCCAGAAAUUCGA